UACGGAGGGAGCUAGCGUUGUUCGGAAUUACUGGGCGUAAAGCGCACGCAGGUGGCUAAGUCAGUCGAUUGUGAAAGCCCUGGGCUUAACCUGGGAAUUGCAGUCGAUACUACUUAGCUCGAGUAUGGGAGAGGGCAGUGGAAUUCCCGGUGUAGCGGUGAAAUGCGUAGAUAUCGGGAGGAACAUCAGUGGCGAAGGCGGCUGCCUGGCCCAAUACUGACACUCAGGUGCGACAGCGUGGGGAGCAAAUAGG
Molecule: ribosomal RNA, 253 nt
Filed under: uncultured bacterium
Lineage: Bacteria
Description: partial 16S ribosomal RNA
Rfam family: Bacterial small subunit ribosomal RNA
Source: RNAcentral